GUCCCGGUUUAAGCGUGUAGGCUGGUUUUCCAGGCAAAUCCGGAAAAUCAAGGCUGAGGCGUGAUGACGAGGCACUACGGUGCUGAAGCAACAAAUGCCCUGCUUCCAGGAAAAGCCUCUAAGCAUCAGGUAACAUCAAAUCGUACCCCAAACCGACACAGGUGGUCAGGUAGAGAAUACCAAGGCGCUUGAGAGAACUCGGGUGAAGGAACUAGGCAAAAUGGUGCCGUAACUUCGGGAGAAGGCACGCUGAUAUGUAGGUGAAGUCCCUCGCGGAUGGAGCUGAAAUCAGUCGAAGAUACCAGCUGGCUGCAACUGUUUAUUAAAAACACAGCACUGUGCAAACACGAAAGUGGACGUAUACGGUGUGACGCCUGCCCGGUGC
RNAcentral lists this ribosomal RNA (385 nucleotides) under Escherichia coli. Its description in RNAcentral is "partial 23S ribosomal RNA". It matches the Rfam family "Bacterial large subunit ribosomal RNA", at positions 1504 to 1869 of the family's 2925-position model. Lineage: Bacteria; Pseudomonadati; Pseudomonadota; Gammaproteobacteria; Enterobacterales; Enterobacteriaceae. The record is from RNAcentral.